Long non-coding RNA from Mercenaria mercenaria, 964 nucleotides. RefSeq lists it as uncharacterized. The record is from RefSeq and is a predicted model, not a curated record. Lineage: Eukaryota; Metazoa; Mollusca; Bivalvia; Venerida; Veneridae. The transcript is spliced from 4 exons.
CUGGGAAACAAAAUGGCGGACAUUCACAACGUUGUUGCAGGAGCAACUUUAUAUAAUUAAUACAAGAUAAUACAUAAAUGAUUGAAAUAGUAAUUAUGGAUAUUACUUAAUAAGGUACAUUUCUUAAUGUUAUUACCAAUAAUGGUUACUACAUAUUUUCCGAGAAGUAUUAUUUUUGAUUGAAAGAGCAUUGCAUAAAGUAGGUGGGGAACAGCACAUCAUUACCCCCACCUUUCAAGAAUUGUCCCAAUUCUUCAAGAAAAAAAUUACAGAUGGGCCAUACAAGGCUUUCUGGCGGGGAAGUACAGAUCUUCGCACACGCCGCAUUGAAACUGCAAAUAGACAAAAGGAUACCCUUUUUACUGAGUACCAAAAAUCAAGUCAACUGGUAACCUCAGUUCUCUACCAAUAUGUAACAUGGCUGGUGUGAACCCUGUUGAUGCUUGAACCGAAGACCGGUAUGCAAGCAUAACUAAAUCAACAUGUUCAUCCCAGUCUUUCUGAUUUGCUGCGACAUAUGGGGUUUCCACACAAGGCUGAGUGCAACUAGAUCAAUGUACUUUUGCAAUAAUUUGUUCGAAGAUUAAAUAAAAUAUUACAAAAUCUUUUUUUUUAUAUCAAUUUUCUAUUAUUCCUGUGAAAAUUUUCUUUAUUCUUGCUCAACAAGACUUUCCUGAAAAUUUCACAACAAUUUCCCUUUUUAAUCAAAUUUUCUUAUAAAUCUUUUCUUAUUUAAACAAAAAUAAUUAAUCCCACUUCUGACACCAAAAUGUUAGGAUGGAUCGAGGGCCAAACGCUAAAUAAGAAAAGCAAUAAAAGUUUACUAUAUUUAUUUUCACACUCAACCUGGUGUAAAAAUAUGUCAAUAUUUAUCUAUAUAACAACAAUAUUUAACUGUAACCAUUCAUUGAAUAAUACCUGUAUCUUAUGAGUAUUCAUGCUCAAUAUAUCUUCUUUAUCUUUA